Long non-coding RNA from Sesamum indicum (sesame), 856 nucleotides. RefSeq annotates it as beta-glucuronosyltransferase GlcAT14B. The record is from RefSeq and is a predicted model, not a curated record. NCBI's taxonomy places the organism in Eukaryota, Viridiplantae, Streptophyta, Magnoliopsida, Lamiales, Pedaliaceae.
AAUUAUCACUAGUGAAAAAAAUAAAAAAGAAAAUUGCUUGGCGAAAUUGAAAGGCAAAAUCAAAGCAAGCAAAACUGGGGGAACGAACGAAGGCCACUUACUGCCCUCCACCGCCGCCAACUCCCUGUAUAUCAUAGCAGCCACCAUUCUCGCCGCCCUCCUCCUCCUUCGCCACCACCCUCUCGCUGCGUCCUCUUUCACAAUCGUCGAAAUGACGAAGACACCAAGUACCGCCAACCCACUGUCUCCUCCCCCUCCCUCCAUAGCCUACCUUAUAUUUCGGAUCCGGCAAGGAUUUCGGAUACGCUUUCUCCACUCCGUCUACCACCCCAGAAUUCACUACCUCCUCCAACUCGACCGCUUUUACGGAGUGCGCGGAAUGUUCAUCAGUCUUUCGGUUUCUGAUUAUCCGCUUGUUACUCAAGAUGAUCAAGGAUAUUGAAAUGAAUAAUUGUUGAUUCUCCAUUCUCCAUGGCAGAAAACAGCGAGAUUUUUUAUAACACUGAAAAGAGAUAGCUCCCUGAUGCAUAUCGGUUGUUCAGAGGUUCUCCGGCAGCUAUUUUGAGCCGCAAGUUCGUUGAGUUUUAUAUCUUGGGUGCAGACAACGUUCCCAGGACUCUGCUAAUGUACGUGUCCGACAUGCCAGCAUCGACUUCCUGUUUGCUUCCCAACCGUCCUAUGCAAUUCACAUCAACUCGGUCAAACCACUAUCAGCAACAGCUUGCACCGUGGCUAUCUCAACUCCAGACAGUAACCCAACUCGCUGAAUUCCAGCAACUUUGACGAACUGAUCAAGAGCAUUAUGGCCUUUGCCUCACCAUUUCCCCCAAACUAUCCCAUUCUUGGCCGCAAAGAA